AGAGAAACAUGAUGGAUGCUGUCACUGGGAGAAGUUAAAGCUGAUAUACUUUCUACAUGUGUAUGUCGUUUUGUGCAACAUCUCGACAAAGGCUCAGAGAUUUGUUUCCUUGUGUAAUGCGGCACAUGGUAACAUUGCAGUCAUGAGAUGGCACUAUGUUAAAAAUAGAUUCUUGACCAGAUAAUACAGCUAUUUCAUUCCACCAAGCCAUCAAGCUUGACUUACUGAGUUGGGUUUUAUACCGGUUUUAGCAAUAUUCCAACAAUACCAGAAAUGGGCUUCACUCAUUGUACCCAUGUGGGGAAUCGAAUCCGGGCCUUCGGCAUGACGAGCAUCAAGCUUGACCAUUUAAUCCAAUAAAUGACCUUUUACGACCAGCACAGGUACAACCAUACACAUUCAAAGAGAACUUGUGUAGACCUUCUUAUCACUAAACUUCAGAACAUGCAGACUACACUGUUUACUAUCACUAUUUUAUAAUUCCUCUCUAUGUCCUCAAAACAUUUCAGCAGUCUGGUGGAUUAGCAGGAGUGUUCGAAAGCUGAAUAUACUGUAGGAUCAUAAGAAAAAUCUGUGAUUCUAACUCAUGAUCCUUGAAUCCUGGUACACAAAGCAACGCAACUCUCCAAAGAGAAUUGCAACACCUGUAUAGUUAGAAGUCUUCCAUGGUUGUACACCAUGGUUACCCUGGAUACUAUGAGGCAUUGUUAUGUAAUGUUACUCCAUGAAUGUUGAGGUAGGGAGCGGCA
Molecule: long non-coding RNA, 749 nt
Organism: Haliotis rubra (blacklip abalone)
Lineage: Eukaryota; Metazoa; Mollusca; Gastropoda; Lepetellida; Haliotidae
Exons: 3
Source: RefSeq, a predicted model, not a curated record